This 402-nucleotide unclassified non-coding RNA is filed under the name Hevea brasiliensis (rubber tree). Lineage: Eukaryota; Viridiplantae; Streptophyta; Magnoliopsida; Malpighiales; Euphorbiaceae. The record is from RNAcentral.
GGACAAAAAUGGCAGUUAAAAAAAAUUUUGCUGUAAUUAGGCCAGAAAAUUUUUUGAGUCUAAUAAUCUAAUUAGACAAUGGUCAGUAUUCAAGACCCGAUUUUAACUUUUUAACUCUGCAAAAUAACUUUUGUUUGUUGAUCUAGAAUCUAGAAUAUGCUCCUAUUACGUUGAUCUUUACGUUCAACUAGAUCAUCCUCUCCAUCUACAUAAUCGUUGAAGUUUCUGAUAAUACUGUUCAUAAAUAAGGGUUUGAAAUAUAACAGUAAUAGUUGAUAAAUACAAAAUUCAACGUACACAGCUUGCUUAUGACAUUAUUCAGACAAAAUCCCAUCGAACUUAACAGUUCAGUAUUGCUAAGCAAUAUAUGCGUCUUAAGGAAGAUUUGGAAGGACUUUUGGG